This 75-nucleotide transfer RNA is filed under the name Mesorhizobium sp. M8A.F.Ca.ET.021.01.1.1. Its description in RNAcentral is "tRNA-Thr". It matches the Rfam family "tRNA". Rfam says of the family: Transfer RNA (tRNA) molecules are approximately 80 nucleotides in length. RNAcentral also lists the same sequence under 1 other name. Lineage: Bacteria; Pseudomonadati; Pseudomonadota; Alphaproteobacteria; Hyphomicrobiales; Phyllobacteriaceae. The record is from RNAcentral.
GCCCCAAUAGCUCAGCGGUAGAGCAGCGCUUUCGUAAAGCGAAGGUCGGGAGUUCGAUUCUCUCUUGGGGCACCA